GGCGUCAUAGCUCAGUUGGGAGAGCAGCAGACUGAAGUCGAGUUUUGAUUUGAUGUUAUCUGAAGGUCCCGUGUUCGAGCCACGGUGAUGCCA
Molecule: non-coding RNA, 93 nt
Organism: Mycena sp. CBHHK59/15
Lineage: Eukaryota; Fungi; Basidiomycota; Agaricomycetes; Agaricales; Mycenaceae
Source: the annotation of a GenBank genome assembly